RNAcentral lists this unclassified non-coding RNA (309 nucleotides) under plant metagenome. RNAcentral's name for it is "partial contains 5.8S ribosomal RNA, internal transcribed spacer 2, and large subunit ribosomal RNA". The stretch from base 1 to 105 matches the Rfam family "5.8S ribosomal RNA", at positions 50 to 154 of the family's 154-position model. The record is from RNAcentral.
GAAAUGCGAUAAGUAGUGUGAAUUGCAGAAUUCAGUGAAUCAUCGAAUCUUUGAACGCACAUUGCGCCCCUUGGUAUUCCAUGGGGCAUGCCUGUUCGAGCGUCAUUUGUACCCUCAAGCUCUGCUUGGUGUUGGGUGUUUGUCCCCGUCCCGCGCGUGGACUCGCCCCAAAGUGAUUGGCAGCCGGCGUACUGGUCCCGGAGCGCAGCACAUGUCGCGCAAACGAGUGCCUUGGUACGGCGGCGUCCAUAAGCCCCUCUCUCACGCUCUUGACCUCGGAUCAGGUAGGGAUACCCGCUGAACUUAAGC